This 301-nucleotide ribosomal RNA is filed under the name uncultured bacterium. RNAcentral describes it as "partial 16S ribosomal RNA". It matches the Rfam family "Bacterial small subunit ribosomal RNA", at positions 509 to 807 of the family's 1533-position model. The record is from RNAcentral.
CAGCAGCCGCGGUAAUACGUAGGGUGCAAGCGUUGUCCGGAAUCAUUGGGCGUAAAGCGCGCGUAGGUGGCCAUUUAAGUCCGCUGUGAAAGUCAAAGGCUCAACCUUUGAAAGCCGGUGGAUACUGGAUGGCUAGAGUACGGAAGAGGCGAGUGGAAUUCCUGGUGUAGCGGUGGAAUGCGCAGAUAUCAGGAGGAACACCAAUAGCGAAGGCAGCUCGCUGGGACGUUACUGACACUAAGGCACGAAAGCGUGGGGAGCAAACAGGAUUAGAUACCCCUGUAGUCCCUGUCUCUUAUAC